Hippocampus comes (tiger tail seahorse) is the source of this 379-nucleotide long non-coding RNA. RefSeq lists it as uncharacterized. The transcript is spliced from 3 exons. The record is from RefSeq and is a predicted model, not a curated record. Lineage: Eukaryota; Metazoa; Chordata; Actinopteri; Syngnathiformes; Syngnathidae.
UCACUCCUCAUCCCUUCGUCCGCUGUUUGUACGUUUGUUUGGCUGUAUUGUGUGUGUGUUGUGUGUGUGUGUGUGUGUGUGUGUGGGCAAGGAGGGCUAUCAUGGACUCUGUGGCUCCUUUUGUGCUGCUUUUGCUGCCCGGCCUCCAUUGGACAGCUGCCGAGGACACGAGCUGGACCUACACUGUUACAGUUGGGCAGGCUGGCGUGAGCACAGUGGUCACACAGAGAUGAUGGAGGGCUGCAAGGGGGUAGCGAGGAAGAAGGGCGCAGGCCAAAAAGGCAAGUGAAGAGAGGCAAGUGCACGAGGAUGACCGUCACAGGCCAGCGUCAGAGAGCGAGAGGGUGAGCGCCAGGGCGAGCGUGAGAGGGAGACGGGA